Molecule: ribosomal RNA, 253 nt
Filed under: uncultured bacterium
Lineage: Bacteria
Description: partial 16S ribosomal RNA
Rfam family: Bacterial small subunit ribosomal RNA
Source: RNAcentral
UACGUAGGGGGCAAGCGUUGUCCGGAUUUACUGGGCGUAAAGAGCGUGUAGGCGGCCACGCAGGUCCGUUGUGAAAACUGGAGGCUCAACCUCCAGCUGUCGACGGAAACCGUGUGGCUAGAGUCCGGAGGAGGAGAGUGGAAUUCCUGGUGUAGCGGUGAAAUGCGCAGAUAUCAGGAAGAACACCAAUGGCGAAGGCAGCUCUCUGGGACGGUACUGACGCUGAGACGCGAAAGCGUGGGGAGCGAACAGG